GGUUGUGGCUUAGCGGUAGAGCGCUUGCCUCGCACACGCGAGACUCUCAGUUUGAUCCUCAGCACCA
This 67-nucleotide transfer RNA is filed under the name Marmota monax (woodchuck). Its description in RNAcentral is "tRNA.Ala". The record is from RNAcentral. Lineage: Eukaryota; Metazoa; Chordata; Mammalia; Rodentia; Sciuridae.